This is a long non-coding RNA of Xiphophorus hellerii (green swordtail), 471 nucleotides long. RefSeq lists it as uncharacterized. The record is from RefSeq and is a predicted model, not a curated record. Lineage: Eukaryota; Metazoa; Chordata; Actinopteri; Cyprinodontiformes; Poeciliidae. The transcript is spliced from 2 exons.
UGAAGAAAACCACACAGGCACAGAGUCCCAGCUGCUUCUGGGAGGAAAAGUGAGAGGAAAAAGGUACAAGUUUGUUUCCUUUUGUCCUGUUUCUGAUAGGCUGCUGAGUGAGGAGAACAGGAAGCAGGAAGCAGUCGAAGAGGAGGAUGAGGAGGAGCGGUGAAGAAGAGGUGGACCGACCUGGAAGAGACUGGCGCAGGAACUCGGACAGGAAGUGGAAACCGGAUCGACGGCGGCUCUGUUUUCUGCUCCACACCGGUCUCACCUGACGGACAGGUGGGAGCGUCCUGCUGUGAGACGGAGCCGCGGCUAACGCUACGCCUGUUAACCUUCAGCUGGGAACCAGGAAGUGUCGGAGCGAUCUGAUUGGCCAGCAGGUUCCUGAGUCAGAGCAACGAAACGCUCCGACAGCAGCUGUACAAAUAUUAAAUAUUAAAAAAUAUUUUAAAAUGUGUUUAAGAAAAAUCUGAA